RNAcentral lists this ribosomal RNA (222 nucleotides) under uncultured delta proteobacterium. RNAcentral's name for it is "partial 16S ribosomal RNA". It matches the Rfam family "Bacterial small subunit ribosomal RNA", at positions 1160 to 1382 of the family's 1533-position model. The record is from RNAcentral. Lineage: Bacteria; Deltaproteobacteria.
UUACGGGAGGAAGUGGGGAUGACGUCAAGUCCUCAUGGCCUUUAUGUCCAGGGCUACACACGUGCUACAAUGGGCGGUACAAAGGGUUGCAAUACCGUAAGGUGGAGCUAAUCCCAAAAAGCCGCUCUCAGUUCGGAUUGCAGGCUGCAACUCGCCUGCAUGAAGCCGGAAUCGCUAGUAAUCGCGGAUCAGCAUGCCGCGGUGAAUACGUUCCCGGGCCUU